Molecule: long non-coding RNA, 287 nt
Filed under: Panax ginseng (ginseng)
Lineage: Eukaryota; Viridiplantae; Streptophyta; Magnoliopsida; Apiales; Araliaceae
Description: long non-coding RNA (PGIN_LNC014368)
Source: RNAcentral
CAAAACCAAGUCCAAGUUAAUUGUAUAUAUGUGGACUUAUCACAAAUGAUUAAUGAGACCCACUUAAAUUCUAGCUUAAAAGCUUCAUUUAAGCUCAAAUUCUAACACUAUCAAACAAAUUGCGUUGAAACCUUCACGUGUUAAAAAAUUGGAUCCUUUUCAGUCUCUGGUGUUUUUUAAUGUUAAUAAACAGUGAUGCUGUUGUUGGAAAUGUAGGAUCACAAAAUUCUCAUGUGGUUAGUUACAUGAGAAUUAAAACUCUCAAAUUUCAGGUUUAUAUGUUGCAC